This 69-nucleotide antisense RNA is filed under the name Streptomyces caeruleatus. Its description in RNAcentral is "Streptomyces sp. GIMN4.002 ASpks TB sRNA". It matches the Rfam family "ASpks TB sRNA". Lineage: Bacteria; Bacillati; Actinomycetota; Actinomycetes; Kitasatosporales; Streptomycetaceae. The record is from Rfam by way of RNAcentral.
CUUCAGCGACCCCAGCCAGAGCGGAGUGACGCGGUCCUGCCCGUAGGCGGCCAGCAGGGCACCGGCCUC